GAGGAAUAUUGCGCAAUGGCCGAAAGGCUGACGCAGCGACGCCGCGUGAAGGAUGAAGUCCGUUAGGACGUAAACUUCUUUUGCAGGGGAUGAACAGUCCGUUUUACGGAUUUGACCGUACCCUGCGAAUAAGGAUCGGCUAACUACGUGCCAGCAGCCGCGGUAAUACGUAGGAUCCGAGCGUUGUCCGGAUUUACUGGGGUAAAGGGCGUGUAGGUGGAUUGGCAAGUCGGUGGUUAAAGCCUGCGGCUCAACCGCAGAAUUGCCCUCGAUACUACCAAUCUUGAGUACGGCAGAGGGAGAUGGAAUUCAUGGUGUAGCGGUGAAAUGUGUAGAUAUCAUGAAGAACACCGGUAGCGAAGGCGGUCUCCUGGUCCGUUACUGACACUGAGGCGCGAAAGCGUGGGGAGCAAAC
This 415-nucleotide ribosomal RNA is filed under the name uncultured bacterium. RNAcentral describes it as "bacterial SSU rRNA". It matches the Rfam family "Bacterial small subunit ribosomal RNA", at positions 356 to 773 of the family's 1533-position model. The record is from RNAcentral.